CCUACGGGGGGCUGCAGUGGGGAAUCUUCCGCAAUGGACGAAAGUCUGACGGAGCAACGCCGCGUGAGUGAAGAAGGUUUUCGGAUCGUAAAGCUCUGUCUUUUGGGACGAAUGUGCUGUAGGUGAAUAAUCUGUAGCAAUGACGGUACUAAAGGAGGAAGCCACGGCUAACUACGUGCCAGCAGCCGCGGUAAUACGUAGGUGGCGAGCGUUGUCCGGAAUUAUUGGGCGUAAAGGUGUCGUACGCGGAUAAAAGUGCAGGGCUCAACCCUGUGAGGGGUCAGAAACUAUAGAUCUUGAGUGCAGGAGAGGAAAGUGGAAUUCCCAGUGUAGCGGUGAAAUGCGUAGAUAUUGGGAGGAACACCAGUGGCGAAGGCGACUUUCUGGACUGUGUCUGACGCUGAGGCGCGAAAGCCAGGGGAGUGAACGGGAUUAGAUACCCCAGUAGUC
Molecule: ribosomal RNA, 450 nt
Filed under: uncultured bacterium
Lineage: Bacteria
Description: partial 16S ribosomal RNA
Rfam family: Bacterial small subunit ribosomal RNA
Source: RNAcentral